Molecule: ribosomal RNA, 371 nt
Filed under: uncultured bacterium
Lineage: Bacteria
Description: bacterial SSU rRNA
Rfam family: Bacterial small subunit ribosomal RNA
Source: RNAcentral
ACGUAGGGUGCAAGCGUUAAUCGGAAUUACUGGGCGUAAAGCGUGCGCAGGCGGUUUUGUAAGCCAGAUGUGAAAUCCCCGAGCUUAACUUGGGAACUGCGUUUGGAACUACAAGACUAGAGUGUGUCAGAGGGGGGUAGAAUUCCACGUGUAGCAGUGAAAUGCGUAGAGAUGUGGAGGAAUACCGAUGGCGAAGGCAGCCCCCUGGGAUAACACUGACGCUCAUGCACGAAAGCGUGGGGAGCAAACAGGAUUAGAUACCCUGGUAGUCCACGCCCUAAACGAUGUCUACUAGUUGUCGGGAGAGGAAUCUCUUGGUAACGCAGCUAACGCGUGAAGUAGACCGCCUGGGGAGUACGGUCGCAAGAUUA